Molecule: ribosomal RNA, 465 nt
Filed under: uncultured Klebsiella sp.
Lineage: Bacteria; Pseudomonadati; Pseudomonadota; Gammaproteobacteria; Enterobacterales; Enterobacteriaceae
Description: bacterial SSU rRNA
Rfam family: Bacterial small subunit ribosomal RNA
Source: RNAcentral
CCUACGGGUGGCAGCAGUGGGGAAUAUUGCACAAUGGGCGCAAGCCUGAUGCAGCCAUGCCGCGUGUGUGAAGAAGGCCUUCGGGUUGUAAAGCACUUUCAGCGGGGAGGAAGGCGUUAAGGUUAAUAACCUUGUCGAUUGACGUUACCCGCAGAAGAAGCACCGGCUAACUCCGUGCCAGCAGCCGCGGUAAUACGGAGGGUGCAAGCGUUAAUCGGAAUUACUGGGCGUAAAGCGCACGCAGGCGGUCUGUCAAGUCGGAUGUGAAAUCCCCGGGCUCAACCUGGGAACUGCAUUCGAAACUGGCAGGCUAGAGUCUGGUAGAGGGGGGUAGAAUUCCAGGUGUAGCGGUGAAAUGCGUAGAGAUCUGGAGGAAUACCGGUGGCGAAGGCGGCCCCCUGGACAAAGACUGACGCUCAGGUGCGAAAGCGUGGGGAGCAAACAGGAUUAGAUACCCUUGUAGUC